GAAGGUAUAGCUCAGAGGUACAGUUUAUGUUUAGCAUGCAUGAGGUCCUGGGUUCAAUCCCCAGUACCUCCA
This 72-nucleotide transfer RNA is filed under the name Camelus bactrianus (Bactrian camel). It matches the Rfam family "tRNA". Rfam says of the family: Transfer RNA (tRNA) molecules are approximately 80 nucleotides in length. Their secondary structure includes four short double-helical elements and three loops (D, anti-codon, and T loops). Lineage: Eukaryota; Metazoa; Chordata; Mammalia; Artiodactyla; Camelidae. RNAcentral also lists the same sequence under 2 other names. The record is from Rfam by way of RNAcentral.